This 413-nucleotide ribosomal RNA is filed under the name uncultured microorganism. RNAcentral describes it as "bacterial SSU rRNA". It matches the Rfam family "Archaeal small subunit ribosomal RNA", at positions 459 to 872 of the family's 1478-position model. The record is from RNAcentral.
CAGCCGCCGCGGUAAUACCCGCGGCCCGAGUGGUGGUCGAUUUUAUUGAGCCUAAAACGUCCGUAGCCGGCCUGGUAAAUCCUUGGGUAAAUCGGGCAGCUUAACUGUCCGAAGUCCGGGGAGACUGCCAGGCUUGGGACCAGGAGAGGUCAGAGGUACUUCCGGGGUAGGGGUAAAAUCCUGUAAUCCUGGAAGGACCACCGGUGGCGAAGGCGUCUGACUAGAACGGAUCCGACGGUGAGGGACGAAGCCCUGGGGCGCAAACGGGAUUAGAUACCCCGGUAGUCCAGGGUGUAAACGCUGCGGGCUUGGUGUUGGGAGUCCUCUGAGGGCGCCCAGUGCCGGAGAGAAGUUGUUAAGCCUGCUGCUUGGGGAGUACGUCCGCAAGGAUGAAACUUAAAGGAAUUGGCGGG